RNAcentral lists this ribosomal RNA (440 nucleotides) under uncultured Pseudomonas sp. RNAcentral describes it as "bacterial SSU rRNA". It matches the Rfam family "Bacterial small subunit ribosomal RNA", at positions 358 to 790 of the family's 1533-position model. The record is from RNAcentral. Lineage: Bacteria; Pseudomonadati; Pseudomonadota; Gammaproteobacteria; Pseudomonadales; Pseudomonadaceae.
GGAAUAUUGGACAAUGGGCGAAAGCCUGAUCCAGCCAUGCCGCGUGUGUGAAGAAGGUCUUCGGAUUGUAAAGCACUUUAAGUUGGGAGGAAGGGCAUUUACCUAAUACGUAAGUGUUUUGACGUUACCGACAGAAUAAGCACCGGCUAACUCUGUGCCAGCAGCCGCGGUAAUACAGAGGGUGCAAGCGUUAAUCGGAAUUACUGGGCGUAAAGCGCGCGUAGGUGGUUUGUUAAGUUGAAUGUGAAAUCCCCGGGCUCAACCUGGGAACUGCAUCCAAAACUGGCAAGCUAGAGUAUGGUAGAGGGUGGUGGAAUUUCCUGUGUAGCGGUGAAAUGCGUAGAUAUAGGAAGGAACACCAGUGGCGAAGGCGACCACCUGGACUGAUACUGACACUGAGGUGCGAAAGCGUGGGGAGCAAACAGGAUUAGAUACCCGGG